CCCUUAGAUGUUUUGGGCCGCACGCGCGCUACACUGAUGCAUUCAACGAGCCUAUCCUUGACCGACAGGUCCGGGUAAUCUUUGAAUCUGCAUCGUGACGGGGAUAGAUUAUUGCAAUUAUUAAUCUUCAACGAGGAAUGCCUAGUAGGCGCAAGUCAUCAGCUUGCGUCGAUUACGUCCCUGCCCUUUGUACACACCGCCCGUCGCUCCUACCGAUUGGGUGUGCUGGUGAAAUGUUCGGAUCGGCCGUUUGUCGCGGUUUCCGCGUCAUGUGGCUGAGAAGUUCAUUAAACCCUCCCACCUAGAGGAAGGAGAAGUCGUAACA
RNAcentral lists this ribosomal RNA (325 nucleotides) under uncultured eukaryote. RNAcentral's name for it is "partial 18S ribosomal RNA". It matches the Rfam family "Eukaryotic small subunit ribosomal RNA", at positions 1470 to 1796 of the family's 1831-position model. The record is from RNAcentral.